CGCACCUUGCGCCCUUUGGCUAUUCCGAAGGGCAUGCCUGUUUGAGUAUCAUGAACACCUCAACUCUCAUGGUUUGCCGUGAUGAGCUUGGACUUUGGGGGUCUUGCUGGCCUAUGGGUCGGCUCCUCUCAAAUAAAUCAGCUUGCCAGUGUCUGGUGGCAUCACAGGUGUGAUAACUAUCUACGCUUGUGGUUUUCCAUCAGGUAACCUUCAGUGAUGGAGGUUCGCUGGGGCUCAUAAAUGUCUCUCCUCAGUGAGGACAGCUUUUUGAACGUUUGAUCUCAAAUCAGGUAGGACUACCCGCUGAACUUAA
This 313-nucleotide ribosomal RNA is filed under the name uncultured Thelephoraceae. RNAcentral's name for it is "eukaryotic LSU rRNA". Lineage: Eukaryota; Fungi; Basidiomycota; Agaricomycetes; Thelephorales; Thelephoraceae. The record is from RNAcentral.